AUACUUACCUGGGUCGUGCACCUGGAAUCAAGAAACCCGGGUGUACAGGAUUGCUGGUCGUCAUUGCACAGCGACGAUUGGCUUUCCUGCGAACAUCUUCGGAUGUCUCGAGACCACAAUUUUUGCUUAGGGGGAAUGGGUGGUUCGCCGCCUGUUCCCC
RNAcentral lists this small nuclear RNA (160 nucleotides) under Rhizopus arrhizus. RNAcentral's name for it is "Rhizopus oryzae U1 spliceosomal RNA". It matches the Rfam family "U1 spliceosomal RNA". From Rfam's summary of the family: U1 is a small nuclear RNA (snRNA) component of the spliceosome (involved in pre-mRNA splicing). Its 5' end forms complementary base pairs with the 5' splice junction, thus defining the 5' donor site of an intron. There are significant differences in sequence and secondary structure between metazoan and yeast U1 snRNAs, the latter being much longer (568 nucleotides as compared to 164 nucleotides in human). Lineage: Eukaryota; Fungi; Mucoromycota; Mucoromycetes; Mucorales; Rhizopodaceae. The record is from Rfam by way of RNAcentral. RNAcentral also lists the same sequence under 2 other names.